GAUGAAGAACGUAGCGAAAUGCGAUAAGUAAUGUGAAUUGCAGAAUUCAGUGAAUCAUCGAAUCUUUGAACGCGCAUUGCGCCCGCCAGCAUUCUGGCGGGCAUGCCUGUUCGAGCGUCAUUUCAACCCUCGAGCCCCCCCGGGGGCCUCGGUGUUGGGGGACGGCACACCAGCCGCCCCCGAAAUGCAGUGGCGACCCCGCCGCAGCCUCCCCUGCGUAGUAGCACACACCUCGCACCGGAGCGCGGAGGCGGUCACGCCGUAAAACGCCCAACUUUCUUAGAGUUGACCUCGGAUCAGGUAGGAAUACCCGCUGAACUUAAGCAUAUCAAUAGCGGAGGA
RNAcentral lists this unclassified non-coding RNA (342 nucleotides) under soil metagenome. Its description in RNAcentral is "partial contains 5.8S ribosomal RNA, internal transcribed spacer 2, and large subunit ribosomal RNA". The stretch from base 1 to 120 matches the Rfam family "5.8S ribosomal RNA", at positions 35 to 154 of the family's 154-position model. The record is from RNAcentral.